GACUGAAAUGAACAUUCUCAAAUAUUGAUCUCCUCUUUCUGGGCUAGACUUUGUCCAACCAGCUAUUGCCUCAUCCUGACCAACAUGGCUUCCCCGUGUGCAGCUCUGAUUUCCGUAGACCAUGGUCUGGUCAACCUAAGUUCUUAUUUAGUCAUAAACCAGAGAACAAAGCCCCUCUACAUCUUCUAGGCAAUGGAAAGUUUGUUUCCUCUCUUUCAAGACAGGGUCUUCGGUAGCCUUGGUUGGCCCGGAAUUUGGAUUAAUAGCAAUGGAUGACCUUGAAUUUCUGAUCCUUCUGCCAUUCCCUCCCCACUACUGGGAUUUACAGCCUCAUGAGGAGCUGAUCCAACAGGCUGUACCUGUGGCCAACAAGACAAAGCUUCUUGAGGUGACACUGCUUUUGUGUCUAUAGGGGAAGGACAGAAGAAAAAGAGAAGCCUCUCUUUUUAAAAUUACAUUUAUUGGGCCAGGCAUGGUGGUAUACCCAGCCUUUUCCUCUCCUGUGGUAAUCCUCUGCUUCCCUGCUCAGCUCAGGAUAUGAUUUAACUCUAACUCUUAAAAGUUCUUCCAAAAACGCAACAGAUGGCUGGCUGGUGAACUGAGUGACAAGUGACAUCAACACCAGCAACUUUUAAUUUACAUGUUUUUAUGGAACACAAAUCAAGAUGUCUGCCAUCUUGAGAGCAGUGCAUCCCAACUCUGCCUCGACUGCAGGAAUGGGCUCUCAACCACUGGAAAGAAAAUGAAGGAAAUCCAGUGCUUUCUGAGGGCAGUGUGAUCGCCCCAUGUGCAGUCAUGAAGCUCUCUGUGCGGCGGGGACCCACCUCAGACAGCCAGAGGCGUGCAGGCUGCCCUGCGUAUUUCAUUCACUCCCCGUCUCCUACGGGACGGUUCCUAGAAGAGGAUUACAUUUCCAGAGUCCAGCUGGAUUUCACAUCAGAGACGAUAAAGCUGGGGCAGGACGACGCAGAGUCCACCCAGCACUGCUGCCCUGGGGGUUCCUGGGCCUUCGACGUAGGGACGAUCGCUUCGGUGCAAACACGGCAGCUCCUAGGCCUUCCAACUGCAUCUGUCUCCAGCGCGAGGCAUCUGGCCUCAGUCGUCAUCAUCAUCCUCGAUUUGAAACCGUUUCUUCUUGUGGAUUACUGGAGUUCCCAGCUCUGGUGCUGUGGGGAUGGCAGGUCAGAGACAAAAAGAGAAAACAUCUCAGUCUGUAAAAGAAGAAGGCAGAGCAGAAGGAAAAGCAGGCCCCAGAGUCCCUACCUUGCCCCCUCCCCUCAUCCUCCUCUUCGUCAUCACUGUCCAGCAGUUCCCGCUUCUUGGGCAUUAUUUUCCGUUCUUUCUCCCCAGUGAUCUCUUCCUCUGAAGUGACUGUAAGACACAAAAUUAAGGAACUAGAUCUGCAUCAUCUCAAAACACCUCGCCAGCCCUCACACCCUCAUGAGCGGCACAGAGUUAGUCAUCAAGGGGUAAGCGGUGACACUUUACCUUCUGGGGACACCAGGCCUGCCUUCUUCUUACGGGCUGACAAGAGGGCUCUCAGGGCUCUGGCUCGGUGCUCCUCACUGGGACUCUGCUCUCCGGGGACUCCUGGAUGUAGCUCUGGCUCCUCUUCUCUCUCUCCCUCGUCUUGUUGAUUCAAAGAAGCUGCCACUCUCCGAAGCUGGGUGGGGCUCAACUUGGCUGGAAUUCGCCAGAAGGUUUCCUACAGGAGUUUAGCAGGUGACGUGACUGCAGGGAGAGGACCAGCCUCUCUGGUCUACAUUUUUAGUUAUUCAUUGAAUAACUACGAGUAAACUGAGUAAUAGAACAUGAAAUAAUAAAUAUGGAGAAUGA
Long non-coding RNA from Peromyscus leucopus (white-footed mouse), 1836 nucleotides. RefSeq lists it as uncharacterized. The transcript has 2 exons. The record is from RefSeq and is a predicted model, not a curated record. Lineage: Eukaryota; Metazoa; Chordata; Mammalia; Rodentia; Cricetidae.